GAAUAUCACCGUGGUGUGCUGCUGUCUGCCAAUCGUACCAAAAGCGUAGCAUGGAAUUUAACUCAGCUGUAAAUUCUGCCCCACGUCGGCCACGUCAGGCUCCUUGAACAGUUUCGUCCCUUAUUAAGGAAUAUCACAGUGGUGUGCUGGUGUCUGCCAAUCAAAAACGUAGCAUGAGAUUUAACGCAGCUGGAUCCUGCCCCACGUCAGGCUACUCGAACACUUUUGUCCCUUGAGAUGGAGGGAGAGUACUAGAUGCCGACAUGGACCUGCUCUGUGUCGCCGUCACAGGAACAGUACAAGCUGUGCAGACCGACUCGCCACUCUGAACGACUUUGGAAAGCGAAGAAUUGGCACAUGCUCUGUAUAUUUCUAAUCUUUUUUUGUAUUAAACUCCGUUUACAAAAUUUUGGUGGUUA
This is a long non-coding RNA of Macrosteles quadrilineatus (aster leafhopper), 419 nucleotides long. RefSeq lists it as uncharacterized. Lineage: Eukaryota; Metazoa; Arthropoda; Insecta; Hemiptera; Cicadellidae. The record is from RefSeq and is a predicted model, not a curated record. The transcript has 3 exons.